This 509-nucleotide ribosomal RNA is filed under the name uncultured bacterium. Its description in RNAcentral is "bacterial SSU rRNA". It matches the Rfam family "Bacterial small subunit ribosomal RNA", at positions 30 to 526 of the family's 1533-position model. The record is from RNAcentral.
AUUGAACGCUGGCGGCAGGCCUAACACAUGCAAGUCGAGCGGCAGCGGGAAGAAGCUUGCUUCUUUGCCGGCGAGCGGCGGACGGGUGAGUAAUGUCUGGGAAACUGCCCGAUGGAGGGGGAUAACUACUGGAAACGGUAGCUAAUACCGCAUAACGUCGCAAGACCAAAGAGGGGGACCUUCGGGCCUCUUGCCAUCGGAUGUGCCCAGAUGGGAUUAGCUAGUAGGUGAGGUAACGGCUCACCUAGGCGACGAUCCCUAGCUGGUCUGAGAGGAUGACCAGCCACACUGGAACUGAGACACGGUCCAGACUCCUACGGGAGGCAGCAGUGGGGAAUAUUGCACAAUGGGCGCAAGCCUGAUGCAGCCAUGCCGCGUGUAUGAAGAAGGCCUUCGGGUUGUAAAGUACUUUCAGCGGGGAGGAAGGUGAGUGGUUUAAUACGCCACUCAAUUGACGUUACCCGCAGAAGAAGCACCGGCUAACUCCGUGCCAGCCGCCGCCGUAACAC